Molecule: RNA transcript, 8225 nt
Organism: Anopheles merus
Lineage: Eukaryota; Metazoa; Arthropoda; Insecta; Diptera; Culicidae
Gene name: hemicentin-1-like
Exons: 9
Source: RefSeq, a predicted model, not a curated record
UGCGUUGGGCCUGCUGGACCGCGCGUGUUGUUUGAAAGAGUGGGUUUCGGAGGAACGACGUCGUUCGUGUGUCGCUGCUGUCGAAGGGUUUUGCCAUAACCGUGUGUGUUACCCCAGCAACCUGGGUUCGAGGUGUGCGCAGCGGAGGAAAAGAAAUUCUAGUGAAUCGCAACGAUCUCCUCCGGUUUGUAGGAUCUGGCCAUUAUUUUCAAUAGUAAAAACGGAUCCGAAUCCAAGGGUCGGACGGUGAUCGUGGCCUCUGACAAAAUUCCGUUAUCACGGAGUGUGAGUAUAAAAAUGUGUGCCGUGUGGUUUUUGUGCGUCGGCUGAACAGAGUGAAACAAUUUUGAUUACUUUUCGGGUUACUGGAGCAAUGAAAACAACACAAAUCAAAGUGUAGCAAAAGGCAAAAAGUGAGUGCGCAAGAUUGGAGCAAAAAGAUCACAAUCAGCAAUCUUUGUAUCGGUAGCGGGAAAGGAAAGAAAUGUGUAUGCUAAUUGGUCGAGGCACGGUUAUUUAAUUAUCUGCACCGGUGGUAAUUAAUCAGUGGAAAACACAACAAACUGCACGCAGCCGCCGCAGCCGCUACCACCGGCUCCAUACGCGGCAUUUUCGAUCGAGCACCGGAUGAGCAACAACCGCCAGCAGAAGAAGAAAGCAGAUACGAAGCAAAAGUGAUCGAAUCUUCAGCGGGCAGUGAGUGAGUAUUUCACCAGUGUGAGAGCGAGAAGUCUCAAAGCACGCACAAAUUGAUGCAAAAUAGCAACAGCUUGAAUGAAAUAGCAACAGCAAAUUCAUGGUUCCGAUAGUAUCACGACGGUGGUGGUAGCUACCGAAAAGAAGUUGUGGUUGGGGUUGUGUAAAAUUAACUCACGGAGCGGCAGUGCCUACAUUGAUAGUGUUUGCAAACCUGUGCUUUAUCGUGUGAUGAUCAAGAUCGUUCGUUUUUUACCAUCAGCAUAAACAAAACAUGUUCUCAGUCUAACGAGAUACGCGUUUUGUGUGAAGCGAAACACCUGAGGCAAAGAAAAAUAGCAGGAAGAAACAAAGUGUUGUUUGUUCAAUUGAAAAGCAAAAUUUCCUCCAAUUGCGUGUGAUUCUGCAGUGAUCGAUUCAUUCAAUGCGGCAGUGUGUGAGGUAACGGUGGUUGUUGCUGUAUUUGUUGUUGUUUUGGCAAUUCGUGUUUAAAGUGUUCCAUUACUACUGCCGGCAGCUCUGCAAAACAACACAGGUGGUUGGUUCUCAAAUUUCAUCGUUUGGCGCAGUGUGAUGGUGAUUGUGGCGAUGAUGAUGAGGUUGUGCAACGACACUACUCUUGGGUGUGAUCGUGUUGCUUAGAGUGGCACUUAGGUGAGACAAAAUUUCCCGCAUUUUGAACGGUGUGUGAUAAUCAUGACGAUAUAAAUUCGCCCGGCCAUUAAAACAGCUUGCGAGUUUGCAGUGCGGCAGUUUGACACGAGUUGCUGACUCGGAAAAAACGUUCAUCGAAGAUCGCGAUAUACAGUUUAGCUUGCAAUCGAAUUCCGUUGCGGAUCGACGCGGUUCGAGUUUCGCGUCGACUUUUCGAAAUGACUACGAGGAUGGCUUUAACAGGCACCAAACCAACGAUAAGUGUUGUCUGCCGAACGCUUGCAGUUUUACUGCUGCUCGGUUUGGCGAUGGCGAACAAAACGAUGGACACACGGGAAGGUGAGGAUGUGAUCUUGAAGUGUCGCUUCAACGAGCACUACUCGGACCGGGAAUACUCUUACUAUUGGGCGCAGCAGUCACCAAAUAAGUACGACAAUGUUGCGAUCAAGGGUGACACCUUCAACCCCAACUACAAGAUUGAUUACCGACCUAAUCAGGGUAUUUACGAUCUGCAAAUCUUCAAUGUAUCGUACGCGCGCGAUAACGGCCGCUUCGAGUGUCGCAUCAAGCAGAUCGGCAGUGACAAUGCGAUCUACGAGGAUUACUACAAUCUGACGGUGCUUACGCCGCCACAGCCUCCGCUAAUAUUUCCGGGCAGCGAAACGACCGCCACGGAAGACAAAAAGCAGGAACUCACCUGUAGCAGUGUGGGUGGCUCCCCGGAUCCCACCAUUUCCUGGUACCGUGAAGGAAGUACAACACCAUUGGCCGCCAAUCUGAUAUAUGGGGGAUCGCGUGACAUGCAGACGACCAGCACAUUGACCAUUAUCCCACGUCGAGAGGAUGAUGGUGCGAAGUUUACGUGCGUCGUGUGGAACCGAGCAAUGCCGGAGAGCCAGCGGCUGGAAACGGUUACGACAUUGUCAGUGCGAUACUACCCGCGGGUGGAGAUUGGUCCAGAAAAUCCGUUGAGUGUCGAGCGUGAUCAAACGGCAAAGCUGGAAUGUAACAUUGAUGCCAAACCCAAACCCGAGCAGGUGAAGUGGACACGAAACGGGCGCUUCAUUUCGUCACAUCCAACGCACACGAUCCACCGGGUGUCGCUGCAGGAUGCCGGCCGCUACACCUGUUCGGCCGAUAACGGGUUGGAUAAGAUCGGUGAGCAGGAAAUCACCCUGAACGUCCUCUACCCGCCGAUUGUGCAAAUCGAAACCAAAGCCAAGACGGCCGAAGAGAAGGAAACCGUGCAUAUUAAGUGCAACGUUACCGCCAACCCACCGCCAGUGACCAUCGAGUGGCUGAAGGAGGGUGAUAUUGAUUUCCGGCGCAAUGGCGAUACGCUGGUGCUGCGAGACGUGCGUGCGGAAGACGCCGGGACGUACAUUUGCCGGGGUAUUAAUAUGAUGAAGCCGUACGGUGGGAAGACGCUGGAGCGUGAAGGCAAUGCUUCGGUAGCGCUGCUGGUGCGUCACCGCCCCGGGCAGGCCGUAAUUACGCCGGAAAAACCGGUUGUACACGUUGGCAAUAGUGUCAGCUUGAUGUGCAAAGCUGAUCCUCCCGGCUAUCCUGAUCCGCAGUACCGUUGGUACCGGGAUGUGGGCGGCGAGGUCUCGACGACGGUGAUUGCCCAGGGAGCGCAAUACCUGAUACCGAAGGCGGCACUUUCCAGCGAGGGCAAAUAUCACUGCCACGCAAGCAACGAGCUCGGUAACGGUGGGAUGGCAAGCGCUACGCUGGAAAUUCAUCAGCCACCGCAAUUUUUGGCCAAGCUGCAGUCGAACAUGAUUAAGCGCGCUGGCGAGGCAGAUUUCUUCGUAACGUGCAGUGCUAAAGGAAAACCGGAACCAUCGAUCACGUGGCUGAAGGACGACGUGGAGAUCACCCCGGAACUGCACCGUUAUGAGGUAAAGACGAACGUCGACAAGGGACCUAACGGUAUGGUGACCGUGCAGAGCAUGCUGAAGUUCACCGGAAAGGCACGCCCGAACGGAAACGAUCUCAUUUCCACCGACCGUGGCCAGUACACGUGUUUGUAUGAGAAUGAAGUGAACAAGGCAAACUCAACGAUGCACCUCAAGAUCGAACAUGAACCGAUAGUGCUGCACCAGUACAACAAGGUGGCGAACGAUAUCAAGGAAACGGCGGAAGUGCUGUGCAAGGUACAGUCGUACCCGAAGCCAGAAUUUUUGUGGCACUUUGGAACGACGCUGCUGAGCACGGGUGGACAUUACGAAAUCAUUACCAACUCGGACGGUAACGACGUGUACACAAGCAUCCUGAAGAUCAGCAAUGUGCGUCACCAGGACUAUGGCGAGUAUCAUUGCCGUGUGUCGAAUUCAUUGAACCACAUCCAAGUGCCAAUUCGGCUGCAACCGAAGGGCCCACCAGAGAAACCCAACAAGCUGAAAGCGGUCGAGCUAGGUUCGAACUAUGUCGUUCUGUCGUGGAAUCCCGGAUUCGACGGUGGUCUUGCAAACACGAAAUAUUUUGUCUCGUACCGCAAAAUAGUGAUCCCGAACGAAAGCUUGAUGACGGAAGAGUGUGCUGCGGUGGCCGCUAGCGGUGCUGAAUGGAUGGAGUACGACUGUCAGCGUGAGGUGCCGUGCACCAUCAGCCCGCUGGACCACCACCAGAGCUACGUUUUCAAGGUGAAAGCACUGAACACUAAGGGCGUCUCGGAGCAUUCGAACGAAAUCAGUGCAACGACGAAGGUGGAAAAGAUACCGAUUCCACUGAUGGCUAAUUUUGAUCCCGAGACGAAGAUCCUGGGCCUAAACAUUGGUGCAACUUGUCUAUCGAUGGUGGCGAUCGUUGAAUCGGUUAUGUACGGCGAUACCCCGAUGGCUGCCUGGCACAUCAUCGAGAAGGUGGACCUGCAGGUGAACGGUCACGAUCCAACGUACCGUGAGCACGAGAUAAAGCAUUUUGUCGCAAAUCGACGUAACAAUGGACGCUCGCUGGGCAAUACAUUGGACGAAAUUCCCAUUCCGAUCGAAGACGAAUUGAACCCGCGAGUGCGGGUAAAGCUGUGUCUGAAAAUCAAUCACGAAUACUGUGGUGAAUAUCUGGAAGCUGACAUUGGACAAUCUCUGAUCCAGGAAGCAUCUUUUGUCGAGCUACCAACAUUGAUAGCGAUUUUGGUGUGCAGCGUUGUUGCCGCCCUGUCCGCCGUGUUGUUGGUGAUGUUCUGCCGUUGCAGGCGCAACCAAAAGAAGGAAUCGGUAAAGUCAAAGGAGUACGAUAUUGAUUCGAUCCAUCCGUCGAUUGUGGCCCAACAAAACCAAGCUCCGCCACCGUACUAUUCGGCCAGCAGCCUGGAAAAUAAGGCCCUCGAGCAUUCGAUGGAUUUGGCAAUGGAUCAAAACACGGCCCUGUAUGCAAGCCAGCAGCCAACGUACGGCUACCACCAGCAGAAUGCAAUGAUUCCGCAAGUACCGCAAAAUGAUUGGUCAAACAUGGGCUACGUAGAGAAUUCGUACUCCAAUUCCAACAACGGUGGAAGCGUCAACUCACAGGAUUCUAUCUGGCAGCUGAAAAUGUCGGCUGCUGCCUCGAACUCGGCCAACAUGAUCCCGCAGCACAAUUACAUGGACCAACAGAUGCAGCAAAACUACGGCUAUGACCCAAUGACCCACGGGGGAUACGGUGCCGUUGACGAUUACGCUCCCUACCCGCAUCUGAUGACCACAGCCAGUCAGCACGGCGGAGAUGACUACCAUCACAACAUGCGCAACAGCCAGAAUCCAUCGCGCCAGGACUACUGCAGCGAUCCGUACGCGUCCGUUCACAAGCCCAAGAAACGCAUGGAUCAGCAUAUGGACUUUGUCGCUGAAUCUCCGUACCACGAUGUGAGCGGGCUGCCGGAUCCGUACAUGGAGCAGGAGGAGGCAAAGUCUCCCGUGCAGAAUCAGCAUCUCUCGAUGAGCUACGACGAUGCGCUGGCAAUGGAAAGCGGUUACUCGACACCAAACUCCCGCAAUCGCCGUGUCAUUCACGAGAUUGUGGUGUAAGCGAACGGCCGUCAAAGAUAGUGGCCGAUUGUCGCCAUGGUACAACGAAACAACGAGUUUGAAACUAAACGACAACGAAACGAAUGAUGGAAAAUAGCAUAAUAUACGCACUGAAUUGGACGAAUCAAAAUUAUGAGACAAUCAUCUUUGCCCGGAGCAUGCUUAAAACGGACGACAAUUGCAGAGGGAAACAACAACCAACCAGCCACUGCACGCUGCUAGAAGCGCUGUCGAACCGUAGUUCAAAUUAAAUUACCUUUUCCUUCUAAAUUAUUUGUUUUAAUUGAAACAUUGAAAUUGUUGCAAAUGUUCACCUUCGACACCGGAUGGACGGCCAUGUAGUGCUGCUGAGUCAGAACUACAAGGAGCGAAAUAUGUUGAUCUCAAAAUAUAGCUCCUUGCAGAGAUGGCAACAUAUGGUGUUACAUUUGUGGAUGAUGGUGCAACUUAAAACUGUGAUUGUAUAUAUAGAUAACUAUAGUACGCGUAGAGCAAUGGUUUUAUGACAAGAAAGCGCAAAACAUGGUCGACAAGUAGCAAUAGCAGCACAUGUAUGAGAGGACGCUGCUAUCGGUUUAAGAUAAAGUGUAUCGAAAGCAAUCGGGUGUUACGAUCGAGAUUACGUAUCGUAUCCGGGAUCGAAUAUUAUCCAAUAUUAAAGUAAGUGUUUGGAUUAAGUAAUCGCGAAACGGGCACCAUUCUUAAAUGGUUAAGCCACACGCAGCCAGGUGCGCGUCACUGAAUCGGGGGUCAAGAACCGAAUGUGCCAUUAGCUUGUAGUAGGUAUUCCUGCCAAUAGUUCUUUUCCCGUCUGUCCGAUUGCAGCGUGUGGGCACCUGGUGCGGAUUCCAAAUUGCGGCACGAUUAGAUAGUAACGCCACAAUCUAACACUCCUCCUUCGUGAUUGUCGCUGUGCAUUAGCUGCGUAAAGGGUCCGUUCGUAAAGGAGGAGCGUUCGAGUGACUUAAUCAUCUUAUCACGGAACUAUGUCUUUUAGUGUAUCCGUUUGGCGGUGCCAUUGUUCGAUCGUUUCGUGCCAAGUCUUCCCUCUAGUUCUAGCGCAGCAUGAAGGAAGAAUGCAUUCCAUGUUUUGUUUUAAAUAAACUUAUUCGUGCUUAAUAAUAAAAAAACAACAGAACGCUGUGUACAGCUUCGUCAAAUGCAAACAAUCACCACAUACACACACAUAAACCUAUGAUGAUGCGUCGAAAUGUUUGUGAACGUUGUUGAGCUGGAAAGUGUUGGUUGUAGGUAGUUUAAAGUAUAAUUAAUUGAGCCUGACCCGUGCGUUGUCUUGCGAUGGUCGGCCGUUUUAUUUUUUUUCUUUCUUCCGGUGUCUCUCAUUUGAUAAAGUUCCAUUUUAUCGGCUUCGUCGUGUUGAAAGCGGGUUGCUCCUCAUUCGCAUAAAGCGUCUUCAAUGCUGAGUUUGAAAUAAUACGCACGAAGAAGCAAAAACAUUAGCGCAAAACAUUGACCGUACUGCCGCUGCUCAGUGUGUACAUAAGCGAAAGAUGAACAAUAAGUAAAACAGGAACAAAACAACCGUGCACAGCGUUUUAAAAACAACAGCUUAAACUUAAAAGUCCCGACUUGGUUUGUAUAGGAACCGUAAGCAAAAGGUGUAGUAAUCGUGUACUCGUAAGCUGAAAUUAUGUAUUAAAAAGUGCUUUUGCUUUUGUGUUGUUGCAGUGUGAAACUGUAACGAAAGUGUGUUUAUUAUUGUAAAGAACAGAAAGCAGCAGUCUGUGCUAGCAAGAAGGAAGGAAUAGUAGGGGAUUUAAUAAGCGUUCCGAGGGCGUUACGUUACUAGCCCGCUUGCACACGCCUCAGCAGUGGGUUGGUGGGUGGGUAGGUAACGGUGAGAAUAAAUCACACCAGCAACUAAAAUGGCAACAAAAAGUAGUUAAACAAGUAGGAGGAAAGGAAAGCAGCAGGAAAAUGGAUGAAGUUUCUUAAUUUUCGCAAACGCUUUCUUCGAAUGGACCACGCUUCUCUGGUUGGAGCGCUUUCACCGAUCAGCGCUACUUAAUAACUGAAGCGAGACAGAAUCCUUUUGCCUGCCUCGAAACGUAGGACGAGAAGACAUCAUUGCAAAAAAAAAAAAACAAAGCAAAAGUGUCUCGAAAGUGAGAAAGAACAAGACCGGCGGUAUAGCUCUGAUUACACAGGCGAGCAAAAAAAAAAAAAAAAGAGAUACACAACGUCGUCGUGCGUUUAAGGAUGAAAAAAUCGCAUUCGAAGUAGUAGUGAUUGACGAUAAAUAUGCUUUUCCGCUUUUCUACACCCUUCCCGAGCGGCAACAGUUUGGCGUUUACAAGUUUGACUGCCUUGUUGAAGCGCGCUGUGCGACAUUAGUGUUAAGUGAUGAGGAAAUUUGUUUCCCCGUCGCAAAAACCAGCAGCUGCGCAAGGAAUUGAUGCGGCGGGAGAAACCUCCGGACGGUUGAGACCCCUCUCGAAUCCCGACUAGUAAUGGGCGAUAGGGCAUAUACAUAAACUAGAGAGUGAAAGAGUACGCGCAAACAAGCUAGCGGGAUUCUUCAUUUCUUUACAAACGCGCGUGCAUUUGGCCCGGACCUCGAGCGGCCACGGCGAGUCCCUUUGCACAUUACUCCAAUGGCAAGUAGAGCAGUCGCUAGCGUAUUUUGCAUACUUGUUCCGUCCACCGAGAGAUGUUUCUAAUUGCUGUAAAUAUUGACUGAGAAAAGUAGAAGUAUUUUACUUAUAAGCAGUAGAGCAUUAAGGCACUUUUCUAUAUAAACGCGUUAGCCCGAGAUACAAUUCGUAGCUUAGUUUUGUUAAAGGUUAGUCUAGUGGUAAGCUUCUUUCUGGCGCAAAAUAAAUAUUUUAUUUUAUCUUUUUAAAA